This is a long non-coding RNA of Lingula anatina, 267 nucleotides long. The record is from RefSeq and is a predicted model, not a curated record. NCBI's taxonomy places the organism in Eukaryota, Metazoa, Brachiopoda, Lingulata, Lingulida, Lingulidae.
AGGUCUUAGGAUACUGGUGACGGUCUUCUAUCUGGGCACUGCUACAUAUGCCCCUGCAUUGGCAAUAGAGGCAGUGACUGGUGUCCCGUUGUGGGCUAGCAUCGUAGUCAUCAUGGCCGUGUCUACUUUAUAUACCUCUCUGGGCGGAAUGAAGGCAGUGCUGUGGACGGACGCUCUUCAGUUCUUUAUCAUGAUUGCAGGAAUCCUGGUCGUGCUUAUAAAGGGUUGGGUGACGAUAGGCGGGCCGACCAGAAUGUGGGAAACCAG